CAUUCGUAUUGGAUUUGAUUUGACCAGAUAUAUUUAGCAACUAAAUCAUGGUAUUCAACUAAAUAUAAAGAUGCCACUAAACAUCAAAGAAAAAGAAAACAAAACAAGAAAAAGAAAAAGAAAUAUUUGAGAAGUUCGAAAUUCAUCAAAGUAUAGAGAAAACACAUCUUCAGUCAUGUCUACUGACAAAGCUUCCCCUUUUAUUCAAAACUCCAUGGGGAUUUUAUUCGUUGUUUUGCUACUGACAUCAUUGACAGAGCAAGUAUCAGCACGAGGAGCAGUAGUACCCUGCCUAGGUCCAUGUCCAAAGUUCCCAAACUGCUAUAAGUCUUGCGUCGCGAAAGGAUACAAGGGAGGUGGUUGUGUUGGAUUCUUGGGCAGUCGACCAGCUUGCUGCUGUUUCCAGAGCUGAAAUGCCUUCGUUGCCAUAAACGAAUAAAUGAAUAUGACAAGAACGUCAUGAAUAUUGUCAUUUCAAAAUAAUUGCUUGAUAAAUCCUAUAUAUAUAUAAAAAAAAAAUAGCACCUACUUGAUUUUUGACCUUUACCUGAAUAUUGCCAUAACUUCUCUGCUUUCAGAAACCUUUUGUCACAGUAGAUCAUGAGUUUUUUCA
Populus trichocarpa (black cottonwood) is the source of this 613-nucleotide long non-coding RNA. RefSeq lists it as uncharacterized. The record is from RefSeq and is a predicted model, not a curated record. NCBI's taxonomy places the organism in Eukaryota, Viridiplantae, Streptophyta, Magnoliopsida, Malpighiales, Salicaceae. The transcript has 2 exons.